This is an RNA transcript of Ricinus communis (castor bean), 4216 nucleotides long. It is a transcript of the gene named carbamoyl-phosphate synthase large chain, chloroplastic, with no coding region annotated. Lineage: Eukaryota; Viridiplantae; Streptophyta; Magnoliopsida; Malpighiales; Euphorbiaceae. The transcript has 5 exons. The record is from RefSeq and is a predicted model, not a curated record.
UAACCGUAGCCAGAACGGCAACCCGCUUCAUCAUCAUCACUUUAAGCUUUUGUUGUGACACUGACACUGACAGUAACACUAACUCAGCACAGCAGCCAAAAACCCUAAUUCCCACUCUAAUAAGUAAAAUCACAAAAUCUUCCUUGAGUAAGCAGCCGUUAGAAUAUCCUCAAUUAAAACCACCACCUUCUGUUGCAGAUCCUCCUCUUCCUUCUCUUCUAAAUUAACAGCACACACAUAAACCCUAAAAGAAGAAGAAAGAGAAAAGAUGGCUACUUGCUUAAACCAUUGUGAAACCCUUUCUUCCACCUCCAUUUUCCCCAACAAAUCUCUCACCUUGCCUCGUCUCUCAAGACGACGUAGUUUUGGCUUGUUUUCCUAUAAAAAUUACAAUUUCUCUUCUCUAAACCUCCACCCAUGGCCACCUCGCCGUACCACCCGCCACUUAAAACGGUGCAGCAGCAACUCCGUACGGUGCAGCAGCAUCUCUGAUGUAACCGUAAAAACCCUAACAGAAGCUCCAAACGUAGGCAAACGCACCGAUAUAAAGAAGAUCAUGAUUCUGGGUGCGGGUCCCAUUGUAAUAGGGCAAGCUUGUGAGUUUGAUUAUUCAGGUACACAAGCAUGUAAAGCAUUGAAAGAAGAAGGAUACGACGUCAUAUUGAUUAAUUCAAAUCCAGCUACAAUCAUGACCGACCCGGAUUUAGCGGAUAGAACUUACAUUGCACCAAUGACACCGGAAUUAGUGGAGCAAGUUAUCGAAAAGGAGCGACCUGAUGCUCUGUUACCAACUAUGGGUGGUCAAACGGCGUUGAAUUUAGCGGUGGCUUUAGCUGAAAGAGGUACAUUGGAAAAAUAUAAUGUUGAAUUAAUAGGAGCUAAACUUGACGCUAUUAAAAAAGCUGAAGAUAGAGAUUUGUUUAAACAAGCUAUGAAAAAUAUUGGUCUUAAAACGCCACCAUCUGGUAUUGGUACUACUAUUGAUGAAUGCUUUCAUAUCGCUAAUGAUAUUGGUGAGUUUCCGUUGAUUAUUAGGCCGGCAUUUACUUUAGGUGGAACUGGAGGCGGCAUUGCAUAUAAUAUUGAAGAAUUCGAGGGAAUUUGUAAAGGAGGGUUAGCGGAGAGUUUAACUUCUCAAGUUUUGGUUGAGAAGUCAUUAUUAGGAUGGAAAGAAUAUGAAUUGGAAGUAAUGCGUGAUUUAGCUGAUAAUGUUGUUAUAAUUUGUUCAAUUGAGAAUUUUGAUCCGAUGGGAGUGCAUACUGGUGAUUCGAUUACGGUUGCUCCAGCUCAGACUUUAACUGAUAAGGAGUACCAGAGAUUGAGGGAUUAUUCAAUUAAGAUUAUCAGAGAGAUUGGUGUCGAAUGUGGUGGGUCUAAUGUGCAGUUCGCUGUUAAUCCUGUUGAUGGUGAGGUUAUGAUUAUUGAAAUGAACCCUAGGGUUUCAAGGUCUUCCGCUUUGGCUUCUAAGGCUACUGGUUUUCCUAUAGCAAAAAUGGCUGCUAAGUUGUCUGUUGGGUAUUCAUUGGAUCAAAUUCCUAAUGAUAUUACGAAGAAGACACCUGCUAGUUUCGAACCUUCUAUUGACUAUGUGGUGACCAAGAUCCCGCGAUUUGCAUUUGAGAAAUUCCCCGGUUCUCAGCCAAUUCUGACAACCAGGAUGCAAUCUGUUGGUGAGGCCAUGUCAAUUGGUCGAACUUUUCAAGAGUCCUUUCAGAAAGGAGUUCGGUCACUGGAGUCUGGUUACUCAGGAUGGGGUUGUGCAAAAGUUAAGGAACUUGACUGGGACUGGGACCAACUGAAGUACAACCUCCGAGUUCCAAACCCAGAUCGUAUUUAUGCUGUUUAUGCUGCAAUGAAGAAAGGGAUGAAAGUUGAUGAAAUCCAUGAACUGAGCUUAAUUGACAAGUGGUUCCUUAAUCAGCUUAAAGAGUUGGUGGAUGUGGAACAAUAUCUAAUGACUCGGAGCUUGGCUGAUAUGAUCAAGGAUGACUUCUACGAGAUUAAAAAACGCGGUUUCAGUGAUAAACAGAUAGCGUUUGCUACUAAAUCAACAGAGAAGGAAGUUCGUUCAAAACGAUUGUCUUUUGGAGUUACUCCAGCAUAUAAGCGGGUAGACACCUGUGCUGCUGAGUUUGAGGCUAAUACUCCUUAUAUGUACUCCUCCUAUGAUGCUGAGUGUGAAUCAGCUCCCACCAACAAGAAAAAGGUUUUGAUUUUAGGUGGAGGACCAAAUCGUAUAGGACAAGGGAUUGAGUUUGAUUACUGCUGUUGCCAUACCUCUUUUGCUCUCCAGAGUGCAGGAUAUGAAACAAUUAUGAUGAAUUCAAAUCCUGAAACCGUAUCAACUGAUUAUGAUACAAGUGACCGUCUUUAUUUCGAGCCCUUGACAGUAGAAGAUGUUGUGAAUGUAAUUGAUCUGGAAAGGCCUGAUGGCAUUAUUGUACAGUUCGGAGGUCAAACACCCCUGAAGCUUGCUCUGCCCAUUCAGCAAUACCUAGAUGAACAUAAGCCUGUUUCUGCCAGUGGAGCUGGGCAUGUUCGCAUAUGGGGUACAUCACCAGACUCUAUUGAUGCUGCUGAGGACAGAGAGAGGUUCAAUGCAAUUGUUAAAGAGUUGCAGAUUGAGCAGCCAAAAGGAGGCAUUGCCAAGACCGAAGCUGAUGCACUUACCAUUGCAAAAGACAUAGGUUACCCUGUUGUAGUCCGUCCUUCAUAUGUGUUGGGUGGCCGUGCAAUGGAGAUUGUAUAUAGUGAUGAAAAGCUUGUGACGUAUCUUGAAAAUGCUGUCAAGGUGGACCCUGACCGACCUGUUUUGAUUGAUAAAUAUUUGUCCGAUGCUGUUGAGAUUGAUGUAGAUGCACUUGCAGAUUCACAUGGUAAUGUUGUGAUUGGUGGGGUAAUGGAACAUAUCGAGCAGGCUGGGGUACAUUCUGGUGACUCAGCUUGCAUCCUUCCCACACAAACUAUCUCUUCUUCUUGUCUGGACACAAUAAGGUCAUGGACUAUGAAAUUGGCAAAGAGUCUAAAAGUUUGUGGACUCAUGAAUUGCCAGUAUGCUAUCACAUUGGCUGGGGAGGUUUUUCUGCUGGAGGCAAAUCCUCGUGCUUCUCGUACUGUCCCAUUUGUCUCCAAGGCAAUUGGUCAUCCACUGGCUAAAUAUGCUUCUCUUGUUAUGUCUGGCAUAUCACUUAAUGAGCUAGGAUUCACCAAAGAGGUGAUUCCAGCACAUGUGGCUGUCAAGGAAGUAGUUCUUCCAUUUAAUAAGUUCCCAGGCUGUGAUGUGAUGUUAGGACCUGAAAUGAGGAGCACUGGUGAGGGUAUGGGCAUUGAUUUUGCACUUCCUAUUGCAUAUGCUAAAGGUCAAAUCGCUACUGGGCAGAAACUGCCGCUUUCUGGCACUGCGUUCAUCAGUUUGAAUGACUUAACGAAACCCCACCUUGAAAAACUUGCGAAUGCCUUUUUAGAACUUGGGUUUAGGAUUAUUUCAACUUCAGGGACAGCUCAUUUUCUUGAGUUGAAAGGUAUCCCUGUGGAGCGAGUACUGAAGAUGCAUGAAGGGCGGCCGCAUGCUGGUGAUAUGCUUGCUAAUGGGCAAAUCCAGUUGAUGGUGAUGACAAGUUCUGGUGAUUCACUUGAUCAAAUUGAUGGCCUGCAACUGAGGAGGAUGGCUCUUGCCUAUAAGGUUCCUAUAAUAACAACAGUAGCUGGUGCUUUGGCAACUGCAGAAGCUAUAAAGAGCUUAAGAUCCUGCCCGAUUGAUAUGAUAGCCCUUCAGGACUUCUUUGAUGUUGAGAUACGUGAAGAAAGUAGUAAACACUUGCAGUCAGCUUCUUCUCUAUGAUUUAGGCGGCUGAUUUACACAAAGAUAUUUGGAGGACUGGAACCUGCAAUUUUUGCUCAAGUUUGAAAGUUGAAAUGAGGAUGAGAUCCAAAGUCUAAAACACGCAGUGGCUUGACAGAAAAAAAGAAAAAGCAUUUCUGUUUCUUGGCAGUGUUGAUUUUCUUGUUUCUUGUUUUCCCUUCUUUUGCACAGUGAACAAAUUGUCACUGAUUUUGUUUCUAUUUGGAUUGCCUUGCAUCAUGUAAUAGCAUACUGUAAUCACCCUCUUGUGAUUUUCGUUGUGGAGUGUGGUUCAAAUCUUUGAUCUAUACUCGGUGCUCCUUUUGAUUAUCAAGAAAAAGAAAAAAAAAAAAGAUGUUAGAUUGGAUUUAUCUA